UUGAACGCUGGCGGCAUGUCUUACACAUGCAAGUCGAACGGUAACAGGUCUUCGGAUGCUGACGAGUGGCGAACGGGUGAGUAAUGCAUCGGAACGUACCCAGUCGUGGGGGAUAACUACGCGAAAGCGUGGCUAAUACCGCAUACGCCCUGAGGGGGAAAGCGGGGGACCUUCGGGCCUCGCGCGAUUGGAGCGGCUGAUGUCGGAUUAGCUAGUUGGUGGGGUAAAGGCCUACCAAGGCGACGAUCCGUAGCUGGUCUGAGAGGAUGAUCAGCCACACUGGGACUGAGACACGGCCCAGACUCCUACGGGAGGCAGCAGUGGGGAAUUUUGGACAAUGGGGGCAACCCUGAUCCAGCCAUGCCGCGUGAGUGAAGAAGGCCUUCGGGUUGUAAAGCUCUUUCAGACGGAAAGAAAUCGGGUGCGUGAAUAGCGCGCCUGGAUGACGGUACUGUCAGAAGAAGCACCGGCUAACUACGU
This 480-nucleotide ribosomal RNA is filed under the name uncultured bacterium. Its description in RNAcentral is "bacterial SSU rRNA". It matches the Rfam family "Bacterial small subunit ribosomal RNA", at positions 30 to 506 of the family's 1533-position model. The record is from RNAcentral.